This 253-nucleotide ribosomal RNA is filed under the name uncultured bacterium. RNAcentral describes it as "partial 16S ribosomal RNA". It matches the Rfam family "Bacterial small subunit ribosomal RNA", at positions 524 to 776 of the family's 1533-position model. The record is from RNAcentral.
UACGUAGGGGGCGAGCGUUGUCCGGAUUUAUUGGGCGUAAAGAGCGUGUAGGCGGCCAGGUAGGUCUGCUGUGAAAACUCGAGGCUCAACCUCGAGACGUCGGCGGAAACCGUCUGGCUAGAGUCCGGAAGAGGAGAGUGGAAUUCCUGGUGUAGCGGUGAAAUGCGCAGAUAUCAGGAAGAACACCCGUGGCGAAGGCGGCUCUCUGGGACGGUACUGACGCUGAGACGCGAAAGCGUGGGGAGCGAACAGG